UACGAAGGGGGCUAGCGUUGUUCGGAAUUACUGGGCGUAAAGCGCACGUAGGCGGGUUUGUAAGUAGGGGGUGAAAUCCCCGGGCUCAACCCGGGAACUGCCUUCUAGACUGCAAGCCUGGAGGUCAGGAGAGGCGAGUGGAAUACCGAGUGUAGAGGUGAAAGUCGUAGAUAUUCGGUGGAACACCAGUGGCGAAGGCGACUCGCUGGACUGAUACUGACGCUGAGGUGAGAAAGCGUGGGGAGCAAACAGG
RNAcentral lists this ribosomal RNA (253 nucleotides) under uncultured bacterium. RNAcentral describes it as "partial 16S ribosomal RNA". It matches the Rfam family "Bacterial small subunit ribosomal RNA", at positions 524 to 776 of the family's 1533-position model. The record is from RNAcentral.